This 7215-nucleotide unclassified non-coding RNA is filed under the name Leishmania donovani. RNAcentral's name for it is "gene:LdHU3.31.3960(CDS-product:hypothetical_prote in_conserved)". The record is from RNAcentral. Lineage: Eukaryota; Euglenozoa; Kinetoplastea; Trypanosomatida; Trypanosomatidae.
GCCGUCCUCUAAAAAGCGAUUGUCCUCCACAGAAGGAGGGGGGCAGGCGCACACCCCACCACGUACUGUCUGGCGCUCACCACAUAUUGGACGCUCUGUAAAUUUUUGUUUUCGAUUUUUUUUCGCCGUCGCCGUCCGCUAAGCUCCGAAACGCCAUCUUAACAGACGCCACACAGAGUGUCGGAGUAUCGAAACACCCAGCCCUUCAAGACGCACGGCGCCAACGCGUGCUCUCUGAACCCAACACCGCCACCACCCUCUGUUUCUCUCCCUCCUCGUCCACAUACAGCCUCGCCCUUACUACUGCAGAGCUGUCACACCUGAGGCUGAGGGGGUGUACGCGAUGCCAACAGCAGACAAGCCGAAGCCGUGCAAGCGGUUUGGGACCUUUGGCGAUCCCGACCGCGUGCUCACGCAGGUAGAGAGGGAGUUCUACGCAAAUAUGGCACGCAUGCGCAAAAAGCGCACGCAGAAAAAAGAGAAGCCGCCGGCAGAGGGCGCGCACCGAAAGGGCAAGGAGAAACGAGGCAACGAAAGCGAGAUGUCGCGGGAGAAGUCCACAGACAAGCUGUUCGCGCUCCGCAAGCGUUCUCUGACACCGGCUGACGCUGCCUCGAGGAGCGCGCUGCCAGCGCCCUCCUCCCCACCGCGCGACAACCGCCUCGCCGUGCUCUCGGCGGUAUGUCUCCUGGAUCGCGCUGCCCCGCUUGUCGAGGAGCCGGACCGUCGCAAACCCCGGGAUCGCGCAGCAUCGGAGUGUGUUUCCAGUUGUACCCAGCACAUGCCAGAGCCGAGGCGAGGCUUCGGCUUCAAUGACCAGCAUGCGCCAGAGAGCCUCUGCAAACCUGGCGACUCCAUUCUUCUCCCGUCUCGUUAUCAGAGUGCACGGUCGGGUCACGAGAACACGCCGCGCUGGCAGCGCCAACGGCGCGCUCCCAAGGGUCUACUGGUGUCUGCAGGUAAUUCGCCUGACCACACCCCUGAUGUGCCUCUGGAGACCGGGCUCGUGGAAAAGUUACAGCGGAUGAAGGUCUUGAGCGUGCCGCAAACAGCGUCGCAGGAAUUUCCCAAGCGUGGAAACUCCAACCCGUCAAGCGUCAUGAGCGGUGGUGGCGAUGGUGAGAAUGUUGACUUGUCGCGCGUUGCCGGCCUCAGUGACGACAAGGCGGGCGUGGAGGGUCGCAUCGGCAUGGCACUCGGCGCGCACCACCGCGAAUAUUUCAGCGGCGGCUCUUUCCGUAUUCAUGGACUGACGGACGAGCAGAUGCCAACGCUAGAGGUUCUCGCCGCCAUCGAGAAACUGUUGAAAGUGCGGAAAGAGUCGAAGACGACGUCGAUGAGAACCGAUCGUACGACGAAGCAGGAGCCCAAAGAGGAGGCAGCAACCCAGAAGCGACGAGAUCACGGAAACGCUCAUAGUGCACCGACGCCAAAACCCAAGGCGACGGCAUCGGCUGGAAAGGGUUCGCAGGCGCGGGCAUCGAGCUUCCCGUCGCUGAUCAGAUCGGCAUUACAAGCAGCGGCAGCAGCCAUCACACCGGCGCGCACGUCGCCGUCUUUGUCGAGAGCAGAGGCAAGGUGUGCGGCUCCCUCGCCCCCCCUGGCGCAGCCACUCCCAGCCCUGCAUGCCAAUGACGCAGGGAGGCAUGCCCAAAAGGGUUCAUCUGAAACCAGGAGGCAGGCAAGCCGCCAGCCGCCCGCAUGCGUGUCAGGCAAGAGUCGAGGAGCGAGCUCCUCGCGCAGCCGUAAAGGCGGAUUCCCAGGCCCCUUUUGCUGCAUCAAUGGCAAAGCAUCACGGCACGGGCUGGCGGAAAAGAUGGGUCGGCGAGCGGCACAGGGUGCCUUGAGAAAGGAUGUCUACACGCAAACAAAGUCUCCAAGCGGCGCUACGGCAGUCGACGAGGCAUGUCGCCAGUACGUUGAGCAGUGUCGUCGUGAGGAGCAGGAGCUCAAAAAAUUGAUUGAGUGGGAGCGGCAACGUGCAGGCACGGCGCCUGGGAAAGUCAGCGCCGCUAUCUACUCCGCCGCGCUCAGCGGGACGACGACAGGUGGAGACAGCGCAGUAGCAGCGUCUUCUUCUCCGGCUAGGAAGGUUGCCGGUGUCUCCGCCUUCUCUCACCAUCGCCCGACUUCAGCGACCAGUUUGGGUGCGCCCACGGAGGAAAGGGUGAGCCCCAGAAGCAGCUCCGCGGAUCGCACAAAACGGAGACGCAGCCCUGCCUGCCGCAAUGGACGGCCAACGCCGCUGUCGUGCACGGAUCUGGGUCACCUGAACACAAACAAGUCUACUCGACAGCGCAGCGGCUCGCGGCCACCCGCGCACGCGUACCCCUUCCUCGCUGGAAUGGCAGACGAUGCGUGCGAUGCGUCAAGCGAGAGCACGCCAUCUGCUCAGCCGAAAAUCGCAUUCGCAGGUGCUGGCGGCGGCGGCGUCUCUCCAAACAAAGCCGCCCGUAUGACCGCCGUCACCAUACCAACCCCCAUGCGCGAGGCGGGCGGUUCUCGGAGCCGACCCGUCGAGGCCCACCUGCAAGACCCCGACAAUCUAGCGUCUUUCACCGCCGCCCUCUUCUACGAGCCAUCGUCUGCAGAGGAGUCUCACAUGAGCUCCCGUGCCAUCAGUGUUGUGGACAUAUCAUCCACUGCGAACCACUGCGGCACUUCAGAGUCCGUCUCAGUGGCGGAGGAAACAGUGCAGGAGAUGGUAAAGGCGUACAGCACAGCAGACUCGCCGCAGAUGAACACGCUACACGAGAACGCCGGCGCACGCAGUGAUCCGACCCGUCAGCGAGCUAACUCCGUUGGCGUAGCGACAGAGCCGUCCUCAUCACCGUCUGCUGGACAACGCGAGUCCCGACAGGGCGUACUGAGUGGUGCACCAGUGCACACAGCGUCUUUUGAUGGCUCAGGGAUUGGCGUGAGCAUCGACGAUGCUUACGAGACCGGCAGCGACCUCUACGUCUUUCCGUUCCUGCUAGAGUGCCGAGGCGGCACUUCGCCACAGCAGCAGAAUGUGCAUGUCAAGACGCCCUUGUGCCCUCAACGGCCGAGGUAGCGCUGACGCCCGACCGCGCUCUGGAGAACUAAAGUGGCACGGGUAAUGUAAACAAACAGAGCGAACAACAACAACAAAAAGGAAACGCCGCAAUGUCGACACUCGCGCGUCGGUCGUGUAUGCCCCGCUAUCCUGCCUACGAUAGCAGCGCCGUACGGUGGAUACGUACGUGCAUGCGGGUGGGUAGGUUCUUGCAUGUGGAUGUCUGCGUGCUUCUCUUUUUUUUCUUCGGUUCCUUCUCGUGUUCGGGGGCCAGCAGACUCCUGGCUAUGGUGGCUGCUGCUCUUCGCUUACACCCUGGUAUGGUUUUCUUGAUUAACGCCUGUGUGUGCUUUAUGUUUAGCGACCCCUCUCUCUCUGUUGUGCGCUUGUCUUUCCUUUUUCUUGUGGGUGUCGUGUGUGUGGUAUGCGUGCAAUCCCGUCCCCCCUCAUCCUCUCCCUUAUCCGUUGCCUCCCGUGAUUUCCCUUGCUGGCGCGUCCUCGCUCUGCGGCGCAUGCGUGUUGUUCCUCUCGGCCUCUUUGUUUUUUUUUGUUUUUGCGUUGAUUCUGCCCGUGUUGGGGUGAUGCUUUCCCUCCUCUCCCCUCCUUCUCCUCCUCGCUUCGCACGUGCGCGCCGUGUCUGCCUUUGUGUUGGGUAUUCGCGGGAAUUGCUUUCUUGCAUUGCGUCGACUCGGGCUGCAAUGUCUGGCAGUGCAAGCACGGUGCGCACGCGCUGUCAAGCACCGCCGGCACGGCGCCUCGCAUCCGAAGAAAGCAUGCAGAGGCGCGAAGAGACGCAUGCGAGCGAGCCGCCGUGUGCAUGUGCGCGGAGCAUGCGGAACGUCCCCCACCCGGCCGUGUGGGCUGCUGAGGCACAGAUGCCCGGGGGGGGCAUGACGCGAGCACCCCGAAUGGCAGCAUCGGGUCGUCCGGGCACCCAUGUGGCGAGUCUCCACACCGUACUAUGGCAUGCCGCUGCUUGAGGCGACGGAGAGCGCGAGGGAGGGCGCACAGGCGGAGCACAGGGCCCCCUGGAGGCCCUGGCCUGCGGCUGGCCAACUGAUUCCGUGAGCCCGUGCGGCAUGCACCUGGGCCACCACCACCCCUCUACUACGCGCACGGCGGACGCCGGUGCCUCCGCCCUUGAGCAGGGCCCUGGACGCUGCCCGCGUUGGGUCCAGGCGCGCAGUGCACCCAGGUCGGUCUGGUGCCGGUGGCGCAGCACGCGUGCGAGGGAGGGGCGAGGAAGGACAAGAAGAGACCGUGAGACGCAUGUCCCCGCUUCGGCGGCAGCCGUCUCGCCCUAGAGGGCCAAGAUGCCGCCGUGGUGCAGCGGAGGCGUCUGCGCUGUGGUUGUGUGUAUGCGUAUAUUAGCUGACCUCGUCGAGGGUGGAAUCGGGCACGCGUUGAGGGAGGGGGAGAGAAGCUCGCACACGGUACUUUAAUGGUGAUGUCGGACUGAUGAAGCACCCGCCGAUGCUUCAUCUCACAAUGAAAAUUCAUGUCCAAGCUACCCCUGUUCCCCCCAAAGACAUGGGAGUAUUGGGGCACAUGAACCGUUACUUCCGUGACGACAAGCCAUAGUUAAACUACUGUGUCGGGUAUGCACAGUGCAGUCUUGUGUCUUGAUUUCUUUUACCCUCGUAUACGCACUACGUUCAUGUGUCACUGUGUCUCUUUUUGUGUUUCUAAGCGUGUCUUUGUUUCCCUUCUUCUAUCGACUUCUCUGGGCACCCGGUCCACGGGCUCUCCCCGCCCUCUUCCCAUGACCUUCCUCGCCCGUUCUCUCGCACUCGCCUCUUCACCGAUGGGCUUCCGCUGGUGCGUUGUACGCCUAUCCAGUCUUGCUUGCGACGGUGUUGGCCGCCUGUUUUUGUUGUUUUGUGCUGUUUUUCAUCCGCCACGUCUCUUACGUCCACUGAGCGCUGCCGGCGCGCUCUAUGGCAUUUUCCCUGUUUUUCCUUUUGCCGCUUGCAGACGGUUGUUCUCUGAUUUCAGCCUCACAGCCUUGCUGUGCUCGUGCAUCUCCACUUGUGUGCUUCCCUUCACGGCAGUGCACGCUGCGUCACCAGCUUUCCGUGCCCUUGUGGGCAGCAUAGGCAAGAGCAAGUGCCCUCCCUUCGUCUCUUUUCUCUCUGGAGAAAAGAGAAGGAAAAGCGGAACUUCCAGAACUCAAGAUUUGAUGCUUGCUCGAUUCGCGUGCGUGUGUGUGUGGAAGUUCCUCUGUUUGUUGUAUCUUUCGCAGCGUGUAUCCUCUCGUGGCACUUGAUGCGACUCGGUGUAUGUCUGUAAUAUCUGUCGCGUCGCUGUGUGUUGUGCGCGCCCCUCACGGCGGUGGGCUGACCCUCUCCCUCCCACACACACACACGCACACACCACCAUCACCUCUCCCUCCCUCAUCCUUCAGCCCCGGCGUGCAUUCUUCACUUUCCUUCUCUUUGGUGUGUGUGCAACGUUUUACCCUGAGUUUUUUUUUGCCCCUGUGUGCCGCGUCCUCAUAUCUUUUGUGUGUCCCUUCCCCUUCGUUCUCGGUUUGUUCUUCUCUGCUCGUGGUGUUCUUCGCCGUUGAUUCUACUUUCGAUUUUGUCUUCUGUUUUGCGUGGGCGCACCUGUGAGCGUCACCUGUCGGGUUGGUCGCACCCCCUCGUCCCCCUCCCACUUUACUCGGAAGCGCGCACAACCAAAGACGAUAGCGCGUGUGUAUCCGUAGGUUACACUACUCGGGGGCGGGAGGGGGCAGGGCUUGUAUCGCAGUUGCAUGCUCUUUGGGGGGUGUUUGAUGUGAUGAGCCUUCGCCCCAUAAUCCGCAGCCAACAGAAGCAGAGAAGGGAUGUCAAGACCACUGACUUGUGUACGUUUUCUGUCAUAAACCUGUCUCAGUGUCUGUCGCCAUAGCAUCAGAGGCGAAGGAGGCUGCUUGAAAUUGGCAGACGCAGGUGCCCCUUCGCCACUCACCUCCCCACACACACACACACACACUCACGCACACACCUCGGUUUCCGAGCCUGCUCCUCUUCGCCUUCUCCUUGUUGUUAGCGAUUAGCUCUUGUUGUCCUUCAUGGGCGCUCCUCUUCUUGGAGCUGUGCCGCACGUGUGUUUGCUAUUUCUUCGCAUGCCCUUCCUCUUCCCACACCCCCGCCUGGCCUCGCCGGUCUUUCUCAUGUAUCUCCUUCGACUCGUCUGGCUUUGUCUCUGUGCCCCCUACGUUCACUGCAGCUUCGUCUCUCUCGGGCGCGCGCGCAUCGUGUGCGUGGCGGCUCCCUCGUGCCUGUAUGCGCGUCGCGCGCUUCGCCCUCACUCGUAGGCGCACACGAUUGCCCGGAUGUGUCUCGUGUUCGUCUCUCCGCCCCUCUUUUAAUUCUGCCUCUCGUGUAUCUCCUGCGCGCACUGCCCUGCCGCCUUUCCUGUCGUGAGGGCCAUCUACACGAAAGCGUCCUCCCUGCCGUUCCACCUCUCCCUCCUCUCGCGCAUCCGCGUCUUAUCCUGUCCGGACCAGGGAAGAAGCAAGCGCGCUCAAAGACCCGAUCUGCGGAACGUGGCAAAGACAGGUAAGCGUUUGAUUCCAAGAUGAAUCAUGUAUGCUGUGGUUGCACAACGCUGCUACUCUUUUCGUGGCUGCUGUCUGUUGUAGCCCUCUCUCACUUUCUGCCGGCGGCUUUUUCGCCUUCGUGGCUGCGGUGCUCCCCGUGCGGGCAGUCCUCCCCGCGUGAGCCCCACAAGUAAGUGGCGGAUGCGUAUGAGCAGACGACACUUCGGCGGUAGAUGGCCUCCCUUUUUUUUUUCGUUUCGAUAUGGAUCCCCUUCGUGCUGUAACGGCAAUGAUCCGCCCUCCCUUUGCUGUUGCGUUACUCACAUACGGGGGGUGGGAGGGAGGGGAGCGCGUACCUCCUCCUCUGCCCGUGAUGCUCCCCUCGCCUUUCUUGUCUUCUUCACCUUUUUCACUUUCACAAUGAUUUUUUUUUUCGUUUUGUUUGCACUCAAGUGUAUGUGCGUGUGUGUGUGUGUGUGUGUGUGCCGGUGUGUGAUAACAGAGUUGUGCGCCAAAUCGGAAGCAACCUUCGGGUGGUUGCGGAUGCUUGGCAAGGGAGAGGGCAGCGCCUCCCUCCCGAAGCGCUCAUCGCAACCCGUCAGAAUGACUUUUUAGUGUGGCAGCCACAAGAGGUCACCCAAGGAAAGGCGGA